GAUGAACGCUGGCGGCGUGCCUAAUACAUGCAAGUCGAGCGGUAAGGCUUUCACAGAUUAUUUAACCAGAUAAGUUCUUCGGAGAACUGUUUGCAGCGAUGAUUCCCCGGCUAGGGAAUCAGAGUUGAAUAAUGCGUGAAAGUACACGAGCGGCGGACGGCUGAGUAACACGUAGGAACGUACCCCAAAGUGAGGGAUAAGCACCGGAAACGGUGUCUAAUACCGCAUGUGAUCUUCGGAUUAAAGCUUCGGCGCUUUGGGAACGGCCUGCGCAUGAUUAGCUUGUUGGUGAGGUAAAAGCUCACCAAGGCGACAAUCAUUAGCUGGUCUGAGAGGAUGAUCAGCCAGACUGGGACUGAGAACGGCCCAGACUCCUACGGGAGGCAGCAGUAGGGAAUUUCCACAAUGGACGAAAGUCUGAUGGAGCAACGCCGCGUGCAGGAUGAAGGGUUUCGGCUCGUAAACUGCUUUAUCUGUGAAGA
Molecule: ribosomal RNA, 482 nt
Filed under: uncultured bacterium
Lineage: Bacteria
Description: bacterial SSU rRNA
Rfam family: Bacterial small subunit ribosomal RNA
Source: RNAcentral